Molecule: long non-coding RNA, 247 nt
Filed under: Elaeis guineensis (African oil palm)
Lineage: Eukaryota; Viridiplantae; Streptophyta; Magnoliopsida; Arecales; Arecaceae
Description: long non-coding RNA (EGUI_LNC007937)
Source: RNAcentral
GGAAGAAAACUAAAUAUUGCAUAUUUCAAAACUUUUGGAUAUCAUUAUUUUAUUUUGAAUAAUGAUAAAGAUAAACUAAGUAAAUUUGAUAUAAAAUUUAAUAAAAGAAUAUUUCUUAGUUAUUCUUUUAUAAAUAAAGCUUAUAGAGUAUUUAAUAAAAAAAUUAUUAUUUUUGAUGAGACUAAACAAUUCUCCAUCAAGAGUAGAAGAUGAUGAAAGAAAUUUUGAUCAAGAUAUGAAGAAGAUG